This 596-nucleotide ribosomal RNA is filed under the name Rhizobium sp. AL33 1.2. Its description in RNAcentral is "bacterial SSU rRNA". It matches the Rfam family "Bacterial small subunit ribosomal RNA", at positions 95 to 726 of the family's 1533-position model. Lineage: Bacteria; Pseudomonadati; Pseudomonadota; Alphaproteobacteria; Hyphomicrobiales; Rhizobiaceae. The record is from RNAcentral.
GUGGCAGACGGGUGAGUAACGCGUGGGAAUCUACCCAACUCUACGGAAUAACUCAGGGAAACUUGUGCUAAUACCGUAUACGCCCUUCGGGGGAAAGAUUUAUCGGAGUUGGAUGAGCCCGCGUUGGAUUAGCUAGUUGGUGGGGUAAAGGCCUACCAAGGCGACGAUCCAUAGCUGGUCUGAGAGGAUGAUCAGCCACAUUGGGACUGAGACACGGCCCAAACUCCUACGGGAGGCAGCAGUGGGGAAUAUUGGACAAUGGGCGCAAGCCUGAUCCAGCCAUGCCGCGUGAGUGAUGAAGGCCCUAGGGUUGUAAAGCUCUUUCACCGGUGAAGAUAAUGACGGUAACCGGAGAAGAAGCCCCGGCUAACUUCGUGCCAGCAGCCGCGGUAAUACGAAGGGGGCUAGCGUUGUUCGGAAUUACUGGGCGUAAAGCGCACGUAGGCGGGUAUUUAAGUCAGGGGUGAAAUCCCAGAGCUCAACUCUGGAACUGCCUUUGAUACUGGGUACCUAGAGUAUGGAAGAGGUGAGUGGAAUUCCGAGUGUAGAGGUGAAAUUCGUAGAUAUUCGGAGGAACACCAGUGGCGAAGGCGGCU